CCUACGGGUGGCUGCAGUGAGGAAUAUUGGUCAAUGGGCGCGAGCCUGAUCCAGCCACGCAGCGUGAAGGAUGACUGCCCUACGGGUUGUAAACUUCUUUUAUAAAGGAAUAAAGUGCGGCACGUGUGCCUUUUUCUCUGUACUUUAUGAAUAAGGAUCGGCUAACUCCGUGCCAGCAGCCGCGGUAAUCCGGAGGAUCCGAGCGUUAUCCGGAUUUAUUGGGUUUAAAGGGAGCGUAGAUGGGUUGUUAAGUCAGGUGUGAAAGUUUGCGGCUCAACCGUAAAAUUGCAAUUGAUACUGGCAGGCUUGAGUACAGUUGAGGUAGGCGGAAUUCGUGGUGUAGCGGUGAAAUGCUUAGAUAUCACGAAGAACUCCGAUUGCGAAGGCAGCUUACUAAACUGCAACUGACAUUGAUGCUCGAAAGUGUGGGUAUCAAACAGGAUUAGAUACCCGAGUAGUC
This 460-nucleotide ribosomal RNA is filed under the name uncultured bacterium. Its description in RNAcentral is "partial 16S ribosomal RNA". It matches the Rfam family "Bacterial small subunit ribosomal RNA", at positions 338 to 795 of the family's 1533-position model. The record is from RNAcentral.